UCUCCGUAGGUGAACCUGCGGAGGGAUCAUGACAGAGUUCUCGCCCUCGCGGGUAGACGUCCCACCCACUGUUAUCGUUACUGUGUUGCUUUGGCGGGCCGCCGGGCCCCGCUCUGCCGCCGGCUCCGGCUGGCGCGCGCCCGCCAGAGGCCCAGCAAACUCUGAAUGUUAGUGUCGUCUGAGUACUAUAUAAUAGUUAAAACUUUCAACAACGGAUCUCUUGGUUCUG
RNAcentral lists this unclassified non-coding RNA (229 nucleotides) under plant metagenome. Its description in RNAcentral is "partial contains small subunit ribosomal RNA, internal transcribed spacer 1, and 5.8S ribosomal RNA". The record is from RNAcentral.